GCAAUGAAUAUGGUGCAUACAGAUGGAGGGGUCAAUUCUUUUUAGAUCGGCAAUGGACCAGCCGAUAGCCUCUUUAUUUUCCUUCAAAACACCAACCAAUUGUGCUUCUUGAUCCGGGGUCAAGUCUGAUGCAAUGAUCAUCGGAAGGGUGUCAUUAGGUCCUAGGAAUGCAUACUUGUGUGGCCAAAAGUGGCUUUAAUUCUAGUGCAGGUG
This 213-nucleotide long non-coding RNA is filed under the name Elaeis guineensis (African oil palm). RNAcentral describes it as "long non-coding RNA (EGUI_LNC050506)". Lineage: Eukaryota; Viridiplantae; Streptophyta; Magnoliopsida; Arecales; Arecaceae. The record is from RNAcentral.